RNAcentral lists this long non-coding RNA (1879 nucleotides) under Camarhynchus parvulus. Its description in RNAcentral is "lncRNA (ENSCPVG00000017163.1)". Lineage: Eukaryota; Metazoa; Chordata; Aves; Passeriformes; Thraupidae. The record is from RNAcentral.
GAUCCUGGUGGCAGUGCUGAUCCCGUGUGUGGAUCCCAGUGUCCCCUGGUCCGGGGUGCCCUGGAUCCCCGGUGUGGCUCCCGGUGCUGUGGAUCCCAGUGCCCUGGCUCCCGAUGAUGAUCCCGGUGCGGCUCCUGGUGCUGAUCCCAGUGUGGCCCCGUGCGUGGAUCCCGCACGGCUCCCGGGGAUCCCGGUGUGGAUCCCGGUGCCAUGGCUCCCGAUGAUGAUCCUGGUGUGGAUCCCAGUGUGGAUUCUGCUGAUGCCGGUGUGGAUCCCAAUGUGGCUCCCAAUGAUCCCAGUGCCGGUGUGGAUCCCGGUGUGGCUCCCGGCUUCCCCGGUGCCGGUGUGGCUCCCGGUGUGGAUCCCGGUGCCAUGGCUCCUGGUGUGGAUCCCAGUGUGGUUCCCGGUGUGGAUCCCGGUGCCAUGGCUGCCGAUGAUGAUCCCAGUGUGGAUCCCGGUGCCAUGGCUGCUGCUGAUGAUCCCGGUGUGGAUCCCGGUGCCAUGGCUGCCGCUGAUGAUCCCAGUGUGGAGCCCGGUGCCAUGGCUGCCAAUGAUGAUCCCGGUGUGGAUCCCGGUGCCAUGGCUGCCGAUGAUGAUCCCAGUGUGGAUCCCGGUGCCAUGGCUGCUGCUGAUCCCAGUGUGGAUCCCGGUGCCAUGGCUGCUGCUGAUGAUCCCGGUGUGGAUCCCGGUGCCAUGGCUGCUGCUGAUGAUCCCAGUGUGGAGCCCGGUGCCAUGGCUGCCAAUGAUGAUCCCGGUGUGGAUCCCGGUGCCAUGGCUCCCAGUGUGGAUCUUGGCGUGGUUUCCGGUGCCAUGGCUCCUGAUGAUGAUCCCGGUGUGGAUCCCGGUGCCAUGGCUCCCGAUGAUGAUCCCGGUGUGGAUCCCGGUGCCAUGGCUCCUGAUGAUGAUCCCGGUGUGGAUCCCGGUGCCAUGGCUCCCGAUGAUGAUCCCGGUGUGGAUCCUGGUGCCAUGGCUCCCAGUGUGGAUCCUGGCGUGGAUCCCGGUGCCAUGGCUCCCAGUGUGGAUCCUGGCGUGGAUCCCGGUGCCAUGGCUCCCAGUGUGGAUCCUGGCGUGGUUCCCGGGGUGGUUCCCGGUGUUGCCGGCGCCAGGGGGCUGUAGACGAGGAAGUCAUGGCGGCCGCAGUAGCGCGCAGCGAAGCCUCUCCCGUCCGCCGUGGGGUCGGAAAAGGCCAAAUCCCGGGAGCUGAGCACCGCCCCGAACACGAACGUGCGCCUGGAACAACGCGCCGGGCGGAAAUCAGCAACGGGGAAACAACGGGAAACAAUGGGGAAAAAUAAACACCAGGGAAAAUAAACACCGGGGAAAUAAACAACGGGAAAAUAAACAACGGGGAAAACAAACACCGGGGAAAUAAACAACGGGGAAAUAAACACCGGGGGAAAUAAACAAUGGGAAAAUAAACACCGGGAAAAUAAACACCGGGGAAAUAAACGGGAAAAUAAACAACGGGAAAAUAAACAACGGGAAAAUAAACAACGGGAAAAUAAACAACGGGGAAAAUAAACACCGGGGAAAAUAAACACCGGGAAAAAAACACCGGGAAAAAAAACACCGGGAAAAAUAAACAACGGGAAAAUAAACAACGGGAAAAAUAAACAACGGGAAAAUAAACAACGGGAAAAAUAAACACCGGGGAAAAUAAACACCGGGAAAUAAACACCGGGGAAAUAAACACCGGGGAAAAAAAAACACCGGGAAAAUAAACAACGGGGAAAUAAACACCGGGAAAUAAACACCGGGGAAAUAAACACCGGGGAAAUAAACAACGGGAAAAUAAACGCCGGGGAAAUAAACAACGGGGAAAUAAACAACGGGGAAAUAAAAAACUGGAAAUGGGAAAAAUACAUAACGGGAAAUGGAA